CAAAUCUGUCCGUGGUUGGGGAAUGCAUUAUGGUACAUUAGAACGUGCAGUGUUAAAUUUUCAACCAUUUGGAGGGUUCCAAGACAAAUAAUGACCUUCCCUCAUGAAGCGAGAAGUCUCUAUCCAUGUUUAUUAUGCUCUUGCCCAUGCCUAUUCCUUAUGCUUUU
Molecule: long non-coding RNA, 167 nt
Organism: Telopea speciosissima
Lineage: Eukaryota; Viridiplantae; Streptophyta; Magnoliopsida; Proteales; Proteaceae
Exons: 3
Source: RefSeq, a predicted model, not a curated record